Molecule: long non-coding RNA, 1391 nt
Organism: Saccostrea cuccullata (small rock oyster)
Lineage: Eukaryota; Metazoa; Mollusca; Bivalvia; Ostreida; Ostreidae
Exons: 5
Source: RefSeq, a predicted model, not a curated record
AUUGUGACGUCAUCCAUGUCAGCGAGCUACCCUAUGCAUUAUGACGUCAUACACUUGUAAAAUUAAAGUUUCAUUUUCACUUUUGUUUCUAAGAAGUCAACAUAGAUUUUCAAAAAAUGUAGGACUAUCUUUUGUUUUUCCUCUCUUUUACUUUGAUGAUUGUUAUGUUAUGAAGCUUUUCUUGUAUAAAGCUCAAUUUCUCUAUCACCACGGAAGUAAACAUCCUGAUGCAUUCUUGUCAUGUGAAUGUUGAGAGCGUGUUCAUUUUUGAAAUCUCCUUUCUGACAGAUAUAUUCUACAGGAUCAGCUGAGAUGUUAUUUCACUGGAUUAUUUAAUGGAUAGGCUUAUUGGGCAUAUAGUUGGAUAUCUCUGUCAUCAACAUGAAAUGUAUGACUUCAUCUUUAUACAGUCGGGUUCGGGUUCAGCGGCCAUGGCGAAUCUCGGCAAGAUUUUACCCCAGUGAAAAAAGACUUGUAAUCCACCGUUCCUCAACCUGGAAGAUAUGUUUUGUUCCUAACCAUCUAUAAUCCAUUCUCUAUGAAGUGAAGCCUGGCUGCUGGUCUUCUUUUGGAAAUACACAGUUUGUCAAUCAACAUACAAACACACAAACUUGAAGGUAAAGUUUCAAUGAGAUACAAUUGUAACUUUUAUUUAUUUAUUUAUUUAUUUUUUGUUACAUAUGCAUGUUUAUAUUUUGGAAUUGAUAAGUAAAUGAUAUAUGAUUUUUUAAAUAAAGGGGGUUUGGUGGUCAUGGUCAUGUUUAAACCAUAUUGAUAUCCUUCACAAGAAAAGGCAUAAAAAUUCAUGAUCAAAUUUUAAAACUAAAAUGUAUGAAGUUUUUCUGUGCCAAAUGAUAGUUAACAGCUAAAGAUAGCAUAUCUGUGGAAUAAGUUAAAUAUGGCUAAUUUGUUAACCCCCAGCUUCCUUAAUAGCAUAGUUGGUAAAGAUAGCAAGUUUUGACUUCAAUUGCUGAUGAAUUCCCAAUUUUUCAUUUAAUAUUAACAUUAUAUCACAGGGAAAGAAUACUAUAAUGUGGCCCAUCAGGAUGACCAGAAAAGAAAUCUGAAUGACCCUCUUGAUUAUGCAUAAAGACUGUAACCAUAUAACUGAUGUAAGAUGAUCUGAUUGUGUGGAAUUAAAAUUUCCUGGUGUUUCUACUACCCAAGAUCUUCUUAUGAGUGCAUGGGACUGCUGUAAACCUUCUGUUAAAGCACACCUUGGAGCAUGACACUUUAUUCAUUUAAGGAUUCUCUUGUGAGGGCUUAUGGAAAUGAUCUAUGUCUACUCUUAGAAUGGUGAAAGACUAUCAGAUUAUGCAAAGAUUAACAGAAUAUCCUCUCUUGGAACACUGAAACAAGAAAACCGAACUUAAGAGGAUGAAGGAUUUAAG